AAUCAAAAAGCUUCAAUUCAAAUAUUUUGGAAAAUUGUCAAACUAUUAUUUUAUCUUAAAUACGCAGAAAUCAGUUUGAACUCGGUAGACAAUAUUUGAUCACCCAUCAGUUGCGAAGAAUUAGAAUUCAAAAUCAAGAGCGUGUUGAUUAAGCGCGCACUUUCUAUUAUUACAACAAUAUAGAUCCACGGUUUUCAAAAUGUAUAUAUUAUUUUUUUACUCCGAGUUCUCUUCUGUUCUUUUAUCGUUGUAAUAUAUUUUGGUUUUUUAAGAAAACUUUUUCU
Non-coding RNA from Cinara cedri, 284 nucleotides. Lineage: Eukaryota; Metazoa; Arthropoda; Insecta; Hemiptera; Aphididae. The record is from the annotation of a GenBank genome assembly.